This 1113-nucleotide ribosomal RNA is filed under the name Limosilactobacillus fermentum. RNAcentral's name for it is "bacterial SSU rRNA". It matches the Rfam family "Bacterial small subunit ribosomal RNA", at positions 275 to 1382 of the family's 1533-position model. Lineage: Bacteria; Bacillati; Bacillota; Bacilli; Lactobacillales; Lactobacillaceae. The record is from RNAcentral.
GAUGAUGCAUAGCCGAGUUGAGAGACUGAUCGGCCACAAUGGGACUGAGACACGGCCCAUACUCCUACGGGAGGCAGCAGUAGGGAAUCUUCCACAAUGGGCGCAAGCCUGAUGGAGCAACACCGCGUGAGUGAAGAAGGGUUUCGGCUCGUAAAGCUCUGUUGUUAAAGAAGAACACGUAUGAGAGUAACUGUUCAUACGUUGACGGUAUUUAACCAGAAAGUCACGGCUAACUACGUGCCAGCAGCCGCGGUAAUACGUAGGUGGCAAGCGUUAUCCGGAUUUAUUGGGCGUAAAGAGAGUGCAGGCGGUUUUCUAAGUCUGAUGUGAAAGCCUUCGGCUUAACCGGAGAAGUGCAUCGGAAACUGGAUAACUUGAGUGCAGAAGAGGGUAGUGGAACUCCAUGUGUAGCGGUGGAAUGCGUAGAUAUAUGGAAGAACACCAGUGGCGAAGGCGGCUACCUGGUCUGCAACUGACGCUGAGACUCGAAAGCAUGGGUAGCGAACAGGAUUAGAUACCCUGGUAGUCCAUGCCGUAAACGAUGAGUGCUAGGUGUUGGAGGGUUUCCGCCCUUCAGUGCCGGAGCUAACGCAUAAGCACUCCGCCUGGGGAGUACGACCGCAAGGUUGAAACUCAAAGGAAUUGACGGGGGCCCGCACAAGCGGUGGAGCAUGUGGUUUAAUUCGAAGCUACGCGAAGAACCUUACCAGGUCUUGACAUCUUGCGCCAACCCUAGAGAUAGGGCGUUUCCUUCGGGAACGCAAUGACAGGUGGUGCAUGGUCGUCGUCAGCUCGUGUCGUGAGAUGUUGGGUUAAGUCCCGCAACGAGCGCAACCCUUGUUACUAGUUGCCAGCAUUAAGUUGGGCACUCUAGUGAGACUGCCGGUGACAAACCGGAGGAAGGUGGGGACGACGUCAGAUCAUCAUGCCCCUUAUGACCUGGGCUACACACGUGCUACAAUGGACGGUACAACGAGUCGCGAACUCGCGAGGGCAAGCAAAUCUCUUAAAACCGUUCUCAGUUCGGACUGCAGGCUGCAACUCGCCUGCACGAAGUCGGAAUCGCUAGUAAUCGCGGAUCAGCAUGCCGCGGUGAAUACGUUCCCGGGCCUU